AUUGAACGCUGGCGGCAUGCCUUACACAUGCAAGUCGAACGGCAGCACGGGUGCUUGCACCUGGUGGCGAGUGGCGAACGGGUGAGUAAUACAUCGGAACAUGUCCUGUAGUGGGGGAUAGCCCGGCGAAAGCCGGAUUAAUACCGCAUACGAUCUACGGAUGAAAGCGGGGGACCUUCGGGCCUCGCGCUAUAGGGUUGGCCGAUGGCUGAUUAGCUAGUUGGUGGGGUAAAGGCCUACCAAGGCGACGAUCAGUAGCUGGUCUGAGAGGACGACCAGCAACACGGGAACUAGGAACCGGCCAGACUCCUACGGGAGGCAGCAGUGGGGAAUUUUGGACAAUGGGCGAAAGCCUGAUCCAGCAAUGCCGCGUGUGUGAAGAAGGCCUUCGGGUUGUAAAGCACUUUUGUCCGGAAAGAAAUCCUUGGCUCUAAUACAGUCGGGGGAUGACGGUACCGGAAGAAUAAGCACCGGCUAACUACGUG
Molecule: ribosomal RNA, 485 nt
Filed under: uncultured bacterium
Lineage: Bacteria
Description: partial 16S ribosomal RNA
Rfam family: Bacterial small subunit ribosomal RNA
Source: RNAcentral